Molecule: ribosomal RNA, 793 nt
Filed under: uncultured archaeon
Lineage: Archaea
Description: bacterial SSU rRNA
Rfam family: Archaeal small subunit ribosomal RNA
Source: RNAcentral
ACUGCUCAGUAACACGUGGACAACCUGCCCUUAGGUUGGGUAUAAACCCGGGAAACUGGGUAUAAUACCCGAUAGGUCUCGAUUGCUGGAAUGCAUCGAGAUUUAAAGCUCCGGCGCCUAAGGAUGGGUCUGCGGCCUAUCAGGUAGUAGUGGGUGUAGCGUACCUACUAGCCUACGACGGGUACGGGUUGUGAGAGCAAGAGCCCGGAGAUGGAUUCUGAGACACGAAUCCAGGCCCUACGGGGUGCAGCAGGCGCGAAAACUUUACAAUGCUGGCAACAGCGAUAAGGGAACCUCGAGUGCCAGGUUACAAAUCUGGCUGUCGAGAUGCCUAAAAAGCAUUUCAUAGCAAGGGCCGGGCAAGACCGGUGCCAGCCGCCGCGGUAACACCGGCGGCUCGAGUGGUAACCGUUAUUAUUGGGUCUAAAGGGUCUGUAGCCGGCCGGAUAAGUCUCUUGAGAAAUCUGGCAGCUUAACUGUCAGGCUUUCAGGAGAUACUGUCUGGCUCGAGGCCGGGAGAGGUGAGAGGUACUUCAGGGGUAGGGGUGAAAUCUUGUAAUCCUUGAAGGACCACCAGUGGCGAAGGCGUCUCACCAGAACGGACCUGACGGCAAGGGACGAAAGCUAGGGGCACGAACCGGAUUAGAUACCCGGGUAGUCCUAGCCGUAAACGAUACUCGCUAGGUGUCGGCCACGGUGCGACCGGUGUCGGUGCCGUAGGGAAGCCGUGAAGCGAGCCACCUGGGAAGUACGGCCGCAAGGCUGAAACUUAAAGGAAUUGGCGGGGGAGCAC